GGGUCUUUAGCUCAAUGGCAGAGCAUUUGACUGCAGAGCAAGAGGUCACCGGUUCGAACUUGGUAGGGCCCU
This is a transfer RNA of Ipomoea nil (Japanese morning glory), 72 nucleotides long. It matches the Rfam family "tRNA". Rfam says of the family: Transfer RNA (tRNA) molecules are approximately 80 nucleotides in length. Their secondary structure includes four short double-helical elements and three loops (D, anti-codon, and T loops). The record is from Rfam. Lineage: Eukaryota; Viridiplantae; Streptophyta; Magnoliopsida; Solanales; Convolvulaceae.